This 21-nucleotide unclassified non-coding RNA is filed under the name Mus musculus (house mouse). Its description in RNAcentral is "oocyte_clustered_small_RNA5756". The record is from RNAcentral. Lineage: Eukaryota; Metazoa; Chordata; Mammalia; Rodentia; Muridae.
AGUAUGCACAGGAGCGAUGGU